RNAcentral lists this ribosomal RNA (609 nucleotides) under Alphaproteobacteria bacterium. Its description in RNAcentral is "bacterial SSU rRNA". It matches the Rfam family "Bacterial small subunit ribosomal RNA", at positions 925 to 1533 of the family's 1533-position model. Lineage: Bacteria; Pseudomonadati; Pseudomonadota; Alphaproteobacteria. The record is from RNAcentral.
ACAAGCGGUGGAGCAUGUGGUUUAAUUCGAUGCAACGCGAAGAACCUUACCUGCCCUUGACAUCCUCGGAACGGCCUGGAAACGGGCUGGUGCCUUCGGGAACCGAGAGACAGGUGCUGCAUGGCUGUCGUCAGCUCGUGUUGUGAAAUGUUGGGUUAAGUCCCGCAACGAGCGCAACCCUUAUCCUUGUUUGCCAGCGAGUAAUGUCGGGAACUCCAGGGAGACUGCCGGUGAUAAGCCGGAGGAAGGUGGGGACGACGUCAAGUCAUCAUGGCCCUUACGUGUGGGGCUACAAACGUGCUACAAUGGCUACUACAAUGGGUUGCGAGGUCGCGAGGCCAAGCUAAUCUCUAAAAGUAGUCUCAGUUCGGAUUGUUCUCUGCAACUCGAGAGCAUGAAGUCGGAAUCGCUAGUAAUCGUGGAUCAGCAUGCCACGGUGAAUACGUUCCCGGGUCUUGUACACACCGCCCGUCACAUCAUGGGAGUUGGUUCUGCCCGAAGAUGGUGCGCUAACCUUUUAGGAGGCAGCCAGCCACGGUAGGAUCAGCGACUGGGAUGAAGUCGUAACAAGGUAGCCGUAGGGGAACCUGCGGCUGGAUCACCUCCUUU